This 253-nucleotide ribosomal RNA is filed under the name uncultured bacterium. RNAcentral describes it as "partial 16S ribosomal RNA". It matches the Rfam family "Bacterial small subunit ribosomal RNA", at positions 524 to 776 of the family's 1533-position model. The record is from RNAcentral.
UACGUAGGGAGCAAGCGUUGUCCGGAAUCAUUGGGCGUAAAGCGCGCGUAGGCGGCCCCGUAAGUCCGCUGUGAAAGUCAAAGGCUCAACCUUUGAAAGCCGGUGGAUACUGUGGGGCUAGAGUCCGGAAGAGGCGAGUGGAAUUCCUGGUGUAGCGGUGGAAUGCGCAGAUAUCAGGAGGAACACCAAUUGCGAAGGCAGCUCGCUGGGACGUGACUGACGCUGAGACGCGAAAGCGUGGGGAGCAAACAGG